This 456-nucleotide ribosomal RNA is filed under the name uncultured bacterium. RNAcentral's name for it is "bacterial SSU rRNA". It matches the Rfam family "Bacterial small subunit ribosomal RNA", at positions 340 to 786 of the family's 1533-position model. The record is from RNAcentral.
UACGGGAGGCAGCAGUGGGGAAUAUUGCACAAUGGGCGAAAGCCUGAUGCAGCUAUGCCGCGUGUAUGAAGAAGGCCUUAGGGUUGUAAAGUACUUUCAGCAGGGAGGAAGAAAUAAAACUAAUAAUUUUAUUUUGUGACGUUACCUGAAGAAGAAGCACCGGCUAACUCCGUGCCAGCAGCCGCGGUAAUACGGAGGGUGCAAGCGUUAAUCAGAAUUACUGGGCGUAAAGAGCGCGUAGGUGGUUUUUUAAGUCAGAUGUGAAAUCCCUAGGCUUAACCUAGGAACUGCAUUUUGAAACUGAAAAACUAGAGUAUCGUAGAGGGAGGUAGAAUUCUAGGUGUAGCGGUGAAAUGCGUAGAUAUCUGGAGGAAUACCUGUGGCGAAAGCGGCCUCCUAAACGAAUACUGACACUGAGGUGCGAAAGCGUGGGGAGCGAAACAGGGAUUAGAUACC